GAUGAACGCUGGCGGCGUGCCUAAUACAUGCAAGUCGAGCGAACAGAUAAGGAGCUUGCUCCUUUGAAGUUAGCUGCGGACGGGUGAGUAACACGUGGGUAACCUACCUAUAAGACUGGGAUAACUUCGGGAAACCGGAGCUAAUACCGGAUAACAUUUAGAACCGCAUGGUUCUAAAGUGAAAGAUGGUUUUGCUAUCACUUAUAGAUGGACCCGCGCCGUAUUAGCUAGUUGGUAAGGUAACGGCUUACCAAGGCGACGAUACGUAGCCGACCUGAGAGGGUGAUCGGCCACACUGGAACUGAGACACGGUCCAGACUCCUACGGGAGGCAGCAGUAGGGAAUCUUCCGUAAUGGGCGAAAGCCUGACGGAGCAACGCCGCGUGAGUGAUGAAGGGUUUCGGCUCGUAAAACUCUGUUAUUAGGGAAGAACAAAUGUGUAAGUAACUGUGCACAUCUUGACGGUACCUAAUCAGAAAGCCAGGGCUGACUACGUG
Molecule: ribosomal RNA, 497 nt
Filed under: uncultured bacterium
Lineage: Bacteria
Description: partial 16S ribosomal RNA
Rfam family: Bacterial small subunit ribosomal RNA
Source: RNAcentral